Molecule: ribosomal RNA, 254 nt
Filed under: uncultured bacterium
Lineage: Bacteria
Description: partial 16S ribosomal RNA
Rfam family: Bacterial small subunit ribosomal RNA
Source: RNAcentral
UACGUAGGGGCCUAGCGUUGUCCGGAUUUAUUGGGCGUAAAGAGCUCGUAGGCGGUUUGGUGAGUCGGGUGUGAAAUCUCCACGCUCAACGUGGAGGAGCCACCCGAUACUGCCAUGACUGGAGUCCGGUAGGGGAGUGUGGAAUUCCCGGUGUAGCGGUGAAAUGCGCAGAUAUCUGGAGGAACACCGGUGGCGAAGGCGGCUCUCUGGGACGGUACUGACGCUGAGACGCGAAAGCGUGGGGAGCGAACAGG